RNAcentral lists this ribosomal RNA (246 nucleotides) under uncultured bacterium. RNAcentral's name for it is "partial small subunit ribosomal RNA". It matches the Rfam family "Bacterial small subunit ribosomal RNA", at positions 26 to 286 of the family's 1533-position model. The record is from RNAcentral.
AGAAUCAACGCUGGCGGCGUGCCUAACACAUGCAAGUCGCACGAGAAAGGGGAGCAAUCCCUGAGUAAAGUGGCGCACGGGUGAGUAACACGUGAAUGAUCUACCUCCGAGUGGGGAAUAACUGAGAGAAAUCUUAGCUAAUACCGCAUAACACUUACGAGUCAAAGCAGCAAUGCGCUUGGAGAGGAGUUCGCGGCCGAUUAGUUAGUUGGCGGGGUAAUGGCCCACCAAGACGAUGAUCGGUAU